RNAcentral lists this long non-coding RNA (1644 nucleotides) under Macaca fascicularis (crab-eating macaque). Its description in RNAcentral is "lncRNA (ENSMFAG00000065162.1)". Lineage: Eukaryota; Metazoa; Chordata; Mammalia; Primates; Cercopithecidae. The record is from RNAcentral.
GGUCUCUGGUUAUCUUAAAGGUCAGCAUCUUCUCCUUCCCACCUACCCCCAGAGGCCUCCCCACCAUGGGAUGUCACUGUAGCCUUGAGUGCCUAUUCUAAGCGAUUCCUUAAGGCAGAGACCCAGCCUCAUGCUUUCCUGGGUGCAUGCUUCCCCUCUAGCACCCAGCAUGGAGCUGGCACAGAGAAGGCACAAAUUAAAAGAAGUGAACCUGGGCAGUGAACAAAGACCAGGGCUCCAACAGUCCUCCUCCAAUUCCAGCAGCUGCCCCUUAGAGUCACCUGGUGGGGCAAGGGAGAAGGCAAAAAAGAAGGAGGGUUGUAGACAUUCCAAUAUCCAGGCCCCUUCUAGACUAAACUGAAUCCAAAUCUCUAGGGUAAGGCUGGGCAUUGUUCCUACCCAGAAUGAUCCUGAGGCAUAUCAAGGAUUAGAACUUUCUGGAAGAUUCAGGUCUCCCUCCCCCCACCCAGGUGCAGUGGGCAAGGUGAGGCCAAGUCCUGCGGGAGGCUUUGAGUGCUCCUUAAUACGCCACUGUGUGUUGCAUUGAUUGGAGAAGCGCUUUAUAGCUUGCAAAGUACUUUCACUUGCAUCGAGUCAUUCAUUCAUUCAUUAUUCAUUGAACAAAUAUGCAGCAGAAAGUGCUGGGGCCACAAAGAUGAAGCUCCAAGGUGUGUGGCAGAGACAGGUUCGUGGACUGACAGAUUGAUGAACAAGGCCAUAAGGUGUGACAGGGCUGCCCCCAGAGCCCUUAGCAGAACCGGUCAGGGGCACAGAGGAGGAGGGUAUUGAGCCUAUGUUAGGGAGGCCCCCUGGUCUGGGUGGUACUGGCAAGGCAGAAGGUCCAGGUAGGGGCUGGCAAAGGUGCAGGUGGCAGAGGUGGACUUGGUCCUGCCAUGGGCAGGGGUAUGAGGACACACAGAUGUGAGGAGGGACGGUGGGGACUGCAGAGGGCCUGGCCUGGGCACCUGGUGGCUUAGCUGGGAGCCUGCAGGAAAGACCGAGAAGGGAUGAAGAGAGAGGCGAGAGGAAUGCCAGGAGAGGAGACGGUGGGGUCCUCGUUGCGGGGGUGGGUUGGUGAGAGAUUCAAGCAAUGGUAAACACAAAUGAUUAUAACAACAGCCAGGAUCAACUGAGGCCUCAUUCUCUGCUAGAACAGUUCUCAUAAUUUUUAAAAUAAGCAUGAACACUGUUACUCCUCUCAGUAACCUGUGAGAGGAGUACCAGGGUAACCAUCCCAUCUCACACGUGGGAAAACCGAGAUUCAGAGAACAUCAUUUCCGCUGGUGAGGGGCAGAGAUCUGAUGGUGUGGGGUUCCAGGCACCCUGCCCUGACCUACCCCCCACCAGAGCCUCCGCGGAGAGGACUGUAAGAUGACUCCCCAAGAGAAAACCCUGGAUUCUGCAGCUGGUAUUCCAUUGGUGGGCCUGGUCAGAGCAGCUUUGAGGCAGGGAGUGGUGUCGAGUUGCACGAUGCCAGUGGGGAAGCAGAGAUCAGGAGAACAUGGGCUGGUAAUCCCAGCUACUCGAGAGGCUGAGGCAGGAGAAUAGCUUGAACCUGGGAGGCGGAGGUUGCAGUGAGCCAAGAUCGUGCCUCUGCACUCCACCCUGGGUGACAGAGCAAGACUUCGUCUCAAAAAAAAAAAA